UAGGGAAUCUUCCACAAUGGACGCAAGUCUGAUGGAGCAACGCCGCGUGAGUGAAGAAGGUUUUCGGAUCGUAAAGCUCUGUUGUUGGUGAAGAAGGAUAGAGGCAGUAACUGGUCUUUAUUUGACGGUAAUCAACCAGAAAGUCACGGCUAACUACGUGCCAGCAGCCGCGGUAAUACGUAGGUGGCAAGCGUUGUCCGGAUUUAUUGGGCGUAAAGCGAGCGCAGGCGGAAUGAUAAGUCUGAUGUGAAAGCCCACGGCUCAACCGUGGAACUGCAUCGGAAACUGUCAUUCUUGAGUGCAGAAGAGGAGAGUGGAACUCCAUGUGUAGCGGUGGAAUGCGUAGAUAUAUGGAAGAACACCAGUGGCGAAGGCGGCUCUCUGGUCUGCAACUGACGCUGAGGCUCGAAAGCAUGGGUAGCGAACAGGAUUAGAUACCCUGGUAGUCCAUGCCGUAAACGAUGAGCGCUAGGUGUUGGGGACUUUCCGGUCCUCAGUGCCGCAGCAAAACGCAUUAAGCGCUCCGCCUGGGGAGUACGACCGC
This 544-nucleotide ribosomal RNA is filed under the name uncultured bacterium. Its description in RNAcentral is "partial 16S ribosomal RNA". It matches the Rfam family "Bacterial small subunit ribosomal RNA", at positions 355 to 889 of the family's 1533-position model. The record is from RNAcentral.